CCUUAACUGAAUAUAUAGGUUAAGUGUAGCGAACCUGGGGGAACUGAAAACAUCUAAGUAUCCAGAGGAAAAUAAAUCAACCGAGAUUCCCAAAAGUAGUGGCGAGCGAAAUGGGAACAGCCUUCAAUAUUUAGCAUUUGAAUUAAUCGAAUUUUCUGGAAAGUUAAGCCAUAGUAGGUGAUAGCCCUGUAGAUGAAAAUUCAAAUGUGGAACUAAGAUUGAGACAAGUAGGGCGGGACACGUGAAAUCCUGUUUGAAUAUGGGGGGACCAUCCUCCAAGGCUAAAUACUCGUAAUCGACCGAUAGUGAACCAGUACCGUGAGGGAAAGGCGAAAAGAACCCCGGAAGGGGAGUGAAUAGAUCCUGAAACCGCAUGCAUACAAACAGUGGGAGCGGACUUGUUCCGUGACUGCGUACCUUUGUAUAUGGGUCAGCGACUUACAUUCAGUAGCAAGCUUAACCGAGUAGGGGAAGCGCAGCGAAGCGAGUCUUAA
RNAcentral lists this ribosomal RNA (494 nucleotides) under uncultured bacterium. RNAcentral's name for it is "bacterial LSU rRNA". It matches the Rfam family "Bacterial large subunit ribosomal RNA", at positions 152 to 687 of the family's 2925-position model. The record is from RNAcentral.